GCUCUUUCGCUUCUACCUCGGC
This 22-nucleotide microRNA is filed under the name Pristionchus pacificus. Its description in RNAcentral is "ppc-miR-84c-3p". Its record names the gene ppc-miR-84c-3p. Lineage: Eukaryota; Metazoa; Nematoda; Chromadorea; Rhabditida; Neodiplogasteridae. The record is from miRBase by way of RNAcentral.